Molecule: microRNA, 21 nt
Filed under: Solanum lycopersicum (tomato)
Lineage: Eukaryota; Viridiplantae; Streptophyta; Magnoliopsida; Solanales; Solanaceae
Description: sly-miR10540
Source: miRBase by way of RNAcentral
AUAAUAACUAUUAGUUGAAUG